CCUACGGGUGGCAGCAGUGAGGAAUAUUGGUCAAUGGGCGGAAGCCUGAACCAGCCAAGUAGCGUGCAGGAUGACGGCCCUACGGGUUGUAAACUGCAUUUAUACGGGAAUAACGCGCCUUACGUGUAGGGCUUUGCAUGUACCGUAUGAAUAAGGACCGGCUAAUUCCGGUCCAGCAGCCGCGGUAAUACGGAAGGUCCGGGCGUUAUCCGGGUUUAGUGGGGUUAAAGGGAGCGUAGGCGGCAUGUCAAGCGUGCUGUGAAAUGUCCGGGCCCAACCCGGGCCGUGCAGCGCGAACGGGCGUGCUUGAGUCCGCGGAAGGCAGGCGGAAUUCGUCGUGUAGCGGUGAAAUGCUUAGAUAUGACGAAGAACCCCGAUUGCGAAGGCAGCUUGCUGCAGCGGAACUGACGCUGAUGCUCGAAAGCGCGGGUAUCGAACAGGAUUAGAUACCCUUGUAGUC
This 460-nucleotide ribosomal RNA is filed under the name uncultured bacterium. RNAcentral describes it as "partial 16S ribosomal RNA". It matches the Rfam family "Bacterial small subunit ribosomal RNA", at positions 338 to 795 of the family's 1533-position model. The record is from RNAcentral.